GAUGAACGCUGGCGGCGUGCCUAACACAUGCAAGUCGAACGGAGUUAUGAAGUUUUCGGACGGAUUAACUUAGUGGCGGACGGGUGAGUAACGCGUGGGUAACCUGCCUCAUACAGGGGGAUAACAGUUGGAAACGACUGCUAAAACCGCAUAACAUUGCGAUUCCGCAUUGCGAUGCAAUUAAAUAUUUAUAGGCAUGAGAUGGGCCCGCUUCUGAUUAGCUAGUUGGUGAGGUCAUGGCUCACCAAGGCGACGAUCAGUAGCAUGCUUGAGAGAGUGACCGGACACAUGGGGGCUGAUCCACAGCCCAAACUCCUACUGGAGGCAGCAGUGGGGAAUAUUGCACAAUGGGCGAAAGCCUAAUGCAGCGACGCCGCGUGAGUGAAGAAGUAUUUCGGUAUGUAAAGCUCUAUCAGCAGGGAAGAUAAUGACGGUACCUGACUAAGAAGUCCCGGCUAACUACGUGCCUGCCGCCGUCGUAA
RNAcentral lists this ribosomal RNA (482 nucleotides) under uncultured bacterium. Its description in RNAcentral is "partial 16S ribosomal RNA". It matches the Rfam family "Bacterial small subunit ribosomal RNA", at positions 28 to 523 of the family's 1533-position model. The record is from RNAcentral.